Molecule: ribosomal RNA, 208 nt
Filed under: uncultured bacterium
Lineage: Bacteria
Description: partial 16S ribosomal RNA
Rfam family: Bacterial small subunit ribosomal RNA
Source: RNAcentral
UGCGUAGGCGGCCGCUUAAGUAGGGUGUGAAAUGUCCCGGCUCAACCGGGGAAUGGCGCUCUAAACUGGGUGGCUCGAGUGAGAUAGAGGUGUGCGGAACUUCCGGUGGAGCGGUGAAAUGUGUUGAUAUCGGAGGGAACACCAUUGGCGAAAGCGGCACACUGGGUCUUAACUGACGCUGAGGCACGAAAGCCAGGGGAGCAAACGG